RNAcentral lists this ribosomal RNA (279 nucleotides) under Triticum aestivum (bread wheat). RNAcentral's name for it is "partial small subunit ribosomal RNA". The record is from RNAcentral. Lineage: Eukaryota; Viridiplantae; Streptophyta; Magnoliopsida; Poales; Poaceae.
AUGCGCAAGACCGCUGCAAAGGCCAAGCCGGUUUCAUCAGGCAGCCCAUGGUACGGUGCCGACCGUGUGCUCUACCUCGGCCCGCUUUCCGGAGAGCCCCCGAGCUACUUGACCGGCGAGUUCCCCGGCGACUACGGAUGGGACACCGCCGGGCUCUCGGCCGACCCCGAGACCUUUGCCAAGAACCGGGAGCUCGAGGUGAUCCACUGCCGGUGGGCCAUGCUCGGUGCGCUUGGAUGCGUCUUCCCCGAGCUUCUUGCACGCAACGGCGUCAAGUUC